AGGACGAACGCUGGCGGCGCGCUUAACACAUGCAAGUCGAGCGAGAACCAGACCUUCGGGUCUGGGACAGCGGCGAACGGGUGAGUAACACGUGGGUAAUCAACCCUCGGUACUGGGAUAGCCCGGGGAAACCCGGAUUAAUACCGGAUGGCCCUUCGGAUCUUCGGUUCUGAAGGAAAGGUAGCUUCGGCCUCCGACCGAGGACGAGCCCGCGGCGGAUUAGCUUGUUGGUGGGUAACGGCCUACCAAGGCGGCGAUCCGUAGCUGGUCUGAGAGGACGAUCAGCCACACUGGGACUGAGACACGGCCCAGACUCCUACGGGAGGCAGCAGUGGGGAAUCUUGCGCUAAUGCGGGAAACCGUGACGCAGCGAACCGCCGCGUGAGGGAAGAAGGCCUUCGGGUUGUAAACCUCUUUCAGGAGGGACGAAGCUACUCGGGUUAAUAGCCCAGAGGGUGACGGUACCUCCAGAAGAAGCCCCGGCUAACUACGUGCCAGCCGCGGC
This 505-nucleotide ribosomal RNA is filed under the name uncultured bacterium. RNAcentral's name for it is "bacterial SSU rRNA". It matches the Rfam family "Bacterial small subunit ribosomal RNA", at positions 26 to 518 of the family's 1533-position model. The record is from RNAcentral.